AUGUAGUAAGGGAAAAUAAUGAUAUUACCUUAUUUAUAGUGUUGUCUAAAGUUGGUGCCAGAAGACUCGGUAAGACCAAGAACGCGAACGUUAGUCAUCAUAAACAGGCGUAAAGGGUUUGUAGGCUGCUUUUAAAUUUUUAUUCAUUUUUAUUAAUUUCUCUUAAGCCCUUAAGUUUUAUUAAUAUAAAAUAUAAUGUCAAGAGCUAGAAUCAAAAAGAAGUUAAAAAGUAUAAUACUUAGAGGAGGGAUAAUAUCCUUAGAUCCUAAGGGGAAUACUAAAGGUGUAAACAACUAACUAUCAAUGAUUGACGCUGAGACACGAAGGUGAGGAUAGGAAAUAGGAUUAGAUACCCCGGUACCCCUCUCUGUAAACGAUGAAUGGUAGUCAUUAUAAUGUUAUUGGUGAUAAAGUUAACACGUUAACCAUUCCGCCUUGGGAGUACUACUGCAAAGUUGAAAACAAAAAAAUUAGUCGGUCUCGAAGCAAACGAAGUGAAG
RNAcentral lists this ribosomal RNA (500 nucleotides) under Fragifomes niveomarginatus. Its description in RNAcentral is "SSU rRNA". It matches the Rfam family "Bacterial small subunit ribosomal RNA", at positions 433 to 939 of the family's 1533-position model. The record is from RNAcentral. Lineage: Eukaryota; Fungi; Basidiomycota; Agaricomycetes; Polyporales; Fomitopsidaceae.